This 371-nucleotide long non-coding RNA is filed under the name Homo sapiens (human). RNAcentral's name for it is "HSALNT0319245". Lineage: Eukaryota; Metazoa; Chordata; Mammalia; Primates; Hominidae. The record is from RNAcentral.
AGAUUUUGAGAGCAGCCAGUCCAGACUGCAGCAAGGGGAGAGAGAGCUCCAGGAAGGAUAUCUUCCAAAAAAGGGUUUACGCUGGCAGAACAUAUGGAGAGGAGAUUUCCAUUUCUGAAGCAGGGUUUGGGAUGAUUUCAGUAGAGGCACAGUCUCGCUCUGUCACCCAGGCUGGAGUGAAGUGGUCCAAUCUCAGCUCGCUGCAACUUCUGCCUCCCAGGUUCAAGCAAUUCUCUGCCUCAGCCUCCUGAGUAGCUGAGAUUACAGGCUGAUAGGCAGAAGUGACGUGCCUUGUGUCAGAUGAGACUUUGGACUUGGACUUUUGAGUUAAUGCUGGAAUGAGUUAAGACUUUGGGGGACCAUUGGGAAGG